Molecule: ribosomal RNA, 255 nt
Filed under: uncultured bacterium
Lineage: Bacteria
Description: partial 16S ribosomal RNA
Rfam family: Bacterial small subunit ribosomal RNA
Source: RNAcentral
UACGGAGGGUGCAAGCGUUAUCCGGAUUCACUGGGUUUAAAGGGUGCGUAGGUGGGUCUGUAAGUCCGUGGUGAAAUCUCCGAGCUUAACUUGGAAACUGCCAUGGAUACUAUAGAUCUUGAAUACUGUGGAGGUUAGCGGAAUAUGUCAUGUAGCGGUGAAAUGCUUAGAUAUGACAUAGAACACCAAUUGCGAAGGCAGCUCACUACUCAAUCAUUGACUCUGAGGCACGAAGACGUGGGGGAUCAAAACAGG